AGCAGCCGCGGUAAUUCCAGCUCCAAUAGCGUAUAUUAAAGUUGUUGCAGUUAAAAAGCUCGUAGUUGAAUUUCGGGGUUAGUAGGUUGGUCAUGCCUCUGGUAUGUACUGGUCUCACUGAUUCCUCCUUCCUGAUGAGCCGUAAUGCCAUUAAUUUGGUGUUGCGGGGAAUUUGGACUGUUACUUUGAAAAAUUAGAGUGUUUAAAGCAAGCUAACGCUUGAAUACAUUAGCAUGGAAUAAUGAAAUAGGACGUUCGAUCCUAUUUUGUUGGUUUCUAGGAUUGACGUAAUGAUUAAUAGGGAUAGUUGGGGGCAUUAGUAUUCAAUUGUCAGAGGUGAAAUUCUUGGAUUUAUUGAAGACUAACUACUGCGAAAGCAUUUGCCAAGGAUGUUUUCAUUAAUCAAGAACGAAAGUUAGGGAUCGAAGACGAUCAGAUACCGUCGUAGUCUUAACCAUAAACUAUGCCGACUAGGGAUCGGAUGAUGUUAAUUUUUUAAUGUACUCAUUCGGCGCCUUAC
This 520-nucleotide unclassified non-coding RNA is filed under the name uncultured Glomus. RNAcentral's name for it is "SSU rRNA". It matches the Rfam family "Eukaryotic small subunit ribosomal RNA", at positions 569 to 1091 of the family's 1831-position model. Lineage: Eukaryota; Fungi; Glomeromycota; Glomeromycetes; Glomerales; Glomeraceae. The record is from RNAcentral.